Molecule: long non-coding RNA, 965 nt
Organism: Oxyura jamaicensis (ruddy duck)
Lineage: Eukaryota; Metazoa; Chordata; Aves; Anseriformes; Anatidae
Exons: 3
Source: RefSeq, a predicted model, not a curated record
GCUUUUCCUAGAUUAUUUUAAAUGUACUACCUCCAUCUAAUAGAAGAUCUAGCAUCUCCAGGAAUUCUUCCAUUGCAAAUUUUCAGCAAUGCAACCAUCUCUAUAAGAUAAAGUCUGAAUUCAACAUGUAGAAAGCACAUAUUACAAAAGCAGGUCUCUGGGGAUGGGGAAAGAUUUUGCAAUGUACAUUACAGCCUGUGAGGAUGGAAACCACUCACCCUGCAUGUUGCACUCUUGGGUGAUUUUGCAAUGAGCAGUCAUUUGUGUUUCCCAGAGGUGUUUUUGAAGAGUUUGUAUCCUGAUAAGUAUUCAGGUGGCACAUUCCUGAAGAUGUCUCAAACACUUCACUGAAUGACAUUCAACGGACAACACAUGCUAAUGGAAGACUGGAAAAAUUCUGAGAUGCCAUUAGUUAAAUGACUGAAAUUAACAUGUACAAAAUCAAAUUCAUGACUAUGAACCCAGAUUAAGAAAGGACAGCAAACUAAAAGUACUUUAGUGGCAUAGAUGUGUAUCACUGUGUAUCAGUGGUGAGAGGGGAAAAAAGGCAUUUCCAUGUUUCACAGCCGUGUUUCAGAUGCUGCAGCGCCCAUAAUGCUGACAAUACAGUACUUGCUGUUGUAACACAACGAGGUGAAAGGUACAGCUUGCUACGAUGAACUGAGUACUUUCUGAAGGCCUUUAACCUAAGCAACGGGAAAUUGCACUUUUUCUGCCAGAUGCCUUAAGUCUAGAAUUGCCUGAAACAGUUCUCUCUCCAGUCUUUUUCCAAAUUCACCAGGUGAACUUCAGGUGAACUCCUCCAGAAACACGAAUCCCAGUACUACCAACCUAAAAACAGUGGUUAACUUCAUCUCAGCUUUACUUCAUGUGACCAUAUAUCAUCAAUUCCCAGGCAGUCCAAUGUUUGAAUGUGACUCAUUAACAACAAGCAAAGCUUAGAGAGCUUCAGUGGAACAAUGGUA